GCUAAACGCGAAGAACCUUACCAGGACUUGACAUCCCUCUGACCGGGUAGUAACGUACCCUUUCCUACGGGACAGAGGAGACAGGUGGUGCAUGGUUGUCGUCAGCUCGUGUCGUGAGAUGUUGGGUUAAGUCCCGCAACGAGCGCAACCCUUGUCUUUAGUUGCCAGCACUUAGGGUGGGCACUCUAGAGAGACUGCCGGGGAUAACUCGGAGGAAGGUGGGGAUGACGUCAAAUCAUCAUGCCCCUUAUGUUCUGGGCUACACACGUGCUACAAUGGCCGGUACAACGGGAAGCGAAGGAGUAAUCCGGAGCGAAUCCUAAAAGCCGGUCUCAGUUCGGAUUGUGGGCUGCAACUCGCCCACAUGAAGCCGGAGUUGCUAGUAAUCGUGGAUCAGAAUGCCGCGGUGAAUGCGUUCCCGGGUCUUGUACACACCG
This 437-nucleotide ribosomal RNA is filed under the name uncultured bacterium. RNAcentral's name for it is "bacterial SSU rRNA". It matches the Rfam family "Bacterial small subunit ribosomal RNA", at positions 954 to 1392 of the family's 1533-position model. The record is from RNAcentral.